This 253-nucleotide ribosomal RNA is filed under the name uncultured bacterium. RNAcentral's name for it is "partial 16S ribosomal RNA". It matches the Rfam family "Bacterial small subunit ribosomal RNA", at positions 524 to 776 of the family's 1533-position model. The record is from RNAcentral.
UACGUAGGGUGCGAGCGUUGUCCGGAAUUACUGGGCGUAAAGCGCUCGUAGGUGGUUUGUCGCGUUGUUCGUGAAAACUCACAGCUCAACUGUGGGCGUGCGGGCGAUACGGGCAGACUAGAGUACUGCAGGGGAGACUGGAAUUCCUGGUGUAGCGGUGGAAUGCGCAGAUAUCAGGAGGAACACCGGUGGCGAAGGCGGGUCUCUGGGCCGAUACUGACGCUGAGGAGCGAAAGCGUGGGGAGCGAACAGG